Molecule: unclassified non-coding RNA, 3538 nt
Filed under: Hevea brasiliensis (rubber tree)
Lineage: Eukaryota; Viridiplantae; Streptophyta; Magnoliopsida; Malpighiales; Euphorbiaceae
Source: RNAcentral
CGCAUAUCGAUCUCGUUGCUCAACGGCCUCUUAGCCAUCAAAUGCUUUGUCGGACUACGUCUUCUUCGUCCUUCAUCUCCAUUAACACUUUCUAGCCCUUUUUCCUUCUAUUCUUCAAAUCAAGUCUCUUUGGCCCUUUCAUUCUCUCUUCUUAUAUGUAGAGAUUUUGUUUUGGAGGUCUGAGAAUUAGUGUUUUGGCGAUAUGACAAUGAAUGAGCGGAAGACAAUUGACUUAGACCAAGGAUGGGAGUUUAUGCAAAAGGGGAUAACAAAGCUGAAGAACAUCCUAGAAGGGUUGCCUGAGCCACAAUUCAGCUCUGAGGACUACAUGAUGCUCUACACGACCAUCUACAACAUGUGUACACAAAAGCCCCCUCAUGAUUACUCCCAACAACUGUAUGACAAGUACCGUGAGUCUUUUGAAGAAUACAUCACUUCGACGGUAUUGCCAUCCUUAAGAGAGAAGCAUGAUGAGUUUAUGUUGAGAGAGCUUGUGAAAAGGUGGGCAAACCAUAAAGUCAUGGUUAGGUGGCUUUCUCGUUUCUUCCAUUAUCUGGACCGCUACUUUAUUGCUCGGAGAUCACUUCCACCCCUAAAUGAAGUUGGACUCACUUGCUUCCGUGAUCUGGUAUACCAGGAGUUAAAUGGUAAAGUGAGGGAUGCUGUAAUUUCUCUGAUUGACCAGGAGCGUGAGGGAGAGCAGAUUGACCGAGCUUUAUUAAAAAAUGUUUUGGAUAUAUUUGUUGAAAUUGGAAUGGGGCAGAUGGAUUACUAUGAGAAUGACUUUGAAGCGGCAAUGCUUAAAGAUACAGCUGCUUAUUAUUCUCGGAAGGCAUCCAACUGGAUUCUAGAAGAUUCUUGUCCAGAUUAUAUGUUAAAAGCUGAGGAAUGUCUAAAGCGGGAGAAAGAUAGGGUUUCUCACUACUUGCAUUCUAGCAGUGAGCCAAAGUUGCUGGAGAAAGUUCAACAUGAGUUGCUGGCUGUAUAUGCAAACCAACUGCUUGAAAAGGAACACUCUGGAUGCCAUGCAUUGCUCAGAGAUGACAAGGUACAUAUAAGCUGUUAUACACAUGCUAUUUAGUCAAUUUUGCUGAUCAGAGUAAUUGCAAAUUAGGAUGCUUGCUGUUUUCUUUGUUCUUAUUUUAUUUGUUUUAGGUGGAGGAUUUAUCACGAAUGUUUAGGCUCUUUUCCAAAAUUCCCCGAGGCUUAGAUCCUGUUUCCAGUAUAUUUAAGCAGCAUGUUACUGCUGAAGGUACUGCUUUGGUCAAACAAGCUGAAGAUGCAGCAUGCAACAAGAAGGCAGAUAAAAAGGACAUUGUUGGUUUACAAGAACAGGUUUUUGUUAGGAAGGUUAUUGAGCUGCAUGACAAAUACUUGGCAUAUGUCAAUGAUUGUUUCCAGAACCACACUCUUUUCCACAAGGCAUUGAAAGAAGCUUUUGAAGUCUUCUGCAACAAGGGCGUUGGCGGAAGUUCCAGUGCAGAACUAUUGGCCACUUUCUGUGAUAAUAUUCUUAAGAAAGGUGGGAGUGAGAAACUGAGUGAUGAAGCUAUUGAGGAAACACUGGAAAAGGUGGUAAAGCUGCUUGCUUAUAUUAGUGGUGGUCAGUUCACCUCAAAGAUGGAAGGGAUGGUAACGGAUUUGACAUUAGCAAGGGAAAACCAAACUAGUUUUGAGGAGUAUCUAAGCAAUAACCCAAAUGCAGAUCCAGGGAUUGACUUGACGGUUACUGUUUCGAAAACUGACAUCUGGCCAAGAUACAAGUCUUUUGAUUUGAACCUUCCAGCGGAGAUGGUCAAGUGUGUUGAAGUUUUUAGGGAAUUCUAUCAGACAAAAACAAAACACAGAAAACUUACCUGGAUAUACUCUCUGGGUACCUGUAACCUUAUUGGGAAAUUUGAACCAAAAACCUUGGAGCUGAUUGUGACAACCUAUCAGGCUUCUGCACUGUUGCUGUUCAACUCCUCUGACAGAUUGAGUUAUUCAGAGAUCAUGACUCAACUGAACUUGACCGAUGAUGAUGUUAUUAGAUUGCUACAUUCUUUGUCAUGUGCAAAGUAUAGGAUUCUAAACAAGGAGCCAAAUACAAAAUCAAUCUCUCCUACUGAUUACUUUGAAUUCAACUCAAAGUUCACUGACAAUAAGAGUAGGAUCAAGAUUCCUUUGCCUCCUGUGGAUGAGAAAAAGAAAGCAAUUGAAGAUCCUGUGGACGAGAAAAAGAAAGUAAUUGAAGAUGUUGACAAGGACAGACGAUAUGCUAUCGAUGCUUCAAUUGUGCGUAUCAUGAAGAGUAGGAAAGUUUUAGGUCACCAACAGCUGGUUAUGGAGUGUGUUGAGCAGUUGGGCCGCAUGUUCAAGCCCGAUUUCAAGGCAAUCAAAAAGCGGAUUGAAGAUCUGAUUACACGAGACUAUCUCGAAAGGGACAAAGAUAACCCAAAUUUGUUCAGAUACUUGGCUUAAUGUGGCCUUGUUGAUUAUCCAUGAAUAAUGAAGUGGUGACUGGCAACUGCAAUUUGCACUAGAAGAGUGUACCUGAAUGAAGCAGCUCAAGAAUAUUUAUAAACGCCAUUAAUUGAGUGCUGCUUUUUGCUGAUUUAUUAGAAGCAUGAGCCGAGGCCGCUUGUACAUUUUGCCUUCGCAGCCAGGUAUGAAGAACUUCCAUAGAUUGUGCACCCAUGUUGGAAAAUUGUAAUUGAUUCCACAACGAGGUCCAAUGCACCAAUAGGACCAUCUACCAUCCUGUAUCUGUUAUUUUCUGCAAGUCCAUCACAUUACUUGAUGCCUGUUUGUUAAUUGUUUCUUUACUGCCCCACUGGAAGAAGAGAAAAAAAAAAUGUGAUUUGAUUUUAAUUGCAUUGUGUUUUUGAGUGUCAGUUUCGGAAACUAUCAGGUGAAUGGUUUUUCUUUGAAUUUGGAUGUCGUUGUUCAUGCAUUUUAUGCAUAUAUGGGGUAUAUAUAAUUUUUUAAGAACACUGAAUUCCUUUUGUUUAAUGGGAUGGACAAAUUAGUUUUCAACUAUUUUCGAUUUUUAAGCUAUUAGUGGACUUGGAGAUGCGCUCAAGCCCGUUUGCAAGAAAAAAAAAUUCCAUUGAGUUUUACAAAAUCAUGCUUUUUUUCUAUUUGGAGAUGAUUGAAUUUUUUUCAUUUCAAAUACAAGAAUUGACAAAAAAGAAGUUAAUUGAAUCGAAUCUUUGUAAAAUUCUAGUUUCCUUGCAACUUGUACUUGCCACUUAUGAGAAAAUAGAUCUCACUGGAUGUGAACCUGUGAUAGGUACUGUAAGAUUCCAUAACCGAUGAAUUAUUCUGCCUUGUGUUAGUCUUGAUUGGAUUAUUGGAUGGAUACUGUGUCUGCCAUUUGGAGGAACCAAAGCAUGCAAAAAAGCAACCCAUUAGAGAAAUCUCCUUUUACUUGUGGCGAUAAAGUCUGCGCUCCAUCUGGUGCCCUUCGCUUCUCUAACACCACCACGACAACCGCAUCCUUUGGUUACCAUUACAAAGCCUGUUAUAGUUCUUUCAAACAAGCAAGUUUUCUUUCUUC